AGAAUCAACGCUGGCGGCGUGCCUAACACAUGCAAGUCGAACGCGAAAGCCCCGCAAGGGGCAAGUAGAGUGGCAAACGGGUGAGUAACACGUGGGUGACCUGCCUUCGAGCGGGGGGAUAACGUCCCGAAAGGGACGCUAAUACCGCAUAACAUCCUGCCUUUGAAGAGGUGGAGAUCAAAGCUGGGGAUCGCAAGACCCGGCACUUGAAGAGGGGCCCGCGCCUGAUUAGCUAGUUGGUGGGGUAAUGGCCUACCAAGGCAACGAUCAGUA
RNAcentral lists this ribosomal RNA (273 nucleotides) under uncultured bacterium. RNAcentral's name for it is "partial small subunit ribosomal RNA". It matches the Rfam family "Bacterial small subunit ribosomal RNA", at positions 26 to 285 of the family's 1533-position model. The record is from RNAcentral.